GGGGAAUAUUGCACAAUGGGGGAAACCCUGAUGCAGCGACGCCGCGUGAGCGAAGAAGUAUUUCGGUAUGUAAAGCUCUAUCAGCAGGGAAGAAGAAAUGACGGUACCUGACUAAGAAGCACCGGCUAAAUACGUGCCAGCAGCCGCGGUAAUACGUAUGGUGCAAGCGUUAUCCGGAUUUACUGGGUGUAAAGGGAGCGCAGGCGGAAGGCUAAGUCUGAUGUGAAAGCCCGGGGCUCAACCCCGGUACUGCAUUGGAAACUGGUCAUCUAGAGUGUCGGAGGGGUAAGCGGAAUUCCUAGUGUAGCGGUGAAAUGCGUAGAUAUUAGGAGGAACACCAGUGGCGAAGGCGGCUUACUGGACGAUAACUGACGCUGAGGCUCGAAAGCGUGGGGAGCAAAC
Molecule: ribosomal RNA, 402 nt
Filed under: uncultured bacterium
Lineage: Bacteria
Description: bacterial SSU rRNA
Rfam family: Bacterial small subunit ribosomal RNA
Source: RNAcentral